This is a non-coding RNA of Psammomys obesus (fat sand rat), 320 nucleotides long. Lineage: Eukaryota; Metazoa; Chordata; Mammalia; Rodentia; Muridae. The record is from the annotation of a RefSeq genome assembly.
UUGGACUCGGGCAGCUGGAACAAACUGAAAUGUCAGUCACUGGACUGACAGGUGAGAGUGCCCAAAUAUCCUGCAAAGUUUCUCUCUCAGAUUUUGGCAAUAUAUAUAUACACUGGUACCGUCAGAAAACCAACCAAGAGUUUGAGCAUCUACUAUAUGUGAAGAACAGUUACGAUCAACUCUACUUAGAUGGGAAGAACAAGAAAAUUGAGGCUGGUCAAGACUUUCUAACUUCUACUUCAACCUUGAAAGUAAAUUUCUUGAAGAAGGAGGAUGAAGCCACCUACUACUGUGCAGCCUGGAUAUUAGCACAGCAUUAG